Molecule: ribosomal RNA, 2940 nt
Filed under: Stigmatogaster subterranea
Lineage: Eukaryota; Metazoa; Arthropoda; Chilopoda; Geophilomorpha; Himantariidae
Description: eukaryotic LSU rRNA
Rfam family: Eukaryotic large subunit ribosomal RNA
Source: RNAcentral
CUAACAAGGAUUCCCUGAGUAGCGGCGAGCGAAAGGGGAAAAGCCCAGCGCUGAAGCCCCUGCUUUUCUAACGGAGCAGCGGGCAAUGUAGCGUAAGGGAGCAGUUUUCUUCCGUCGCGCUGCGGGAACCCAAGUCCCCCUGACUGGGGCCAUCGCCCAUGGCGGGUGCAAGGCCCCUGCGGUUCCUGUGUACGCACGGCGCGGCGGUCGGCUGUCUCUCAGGAGUCGGGUUGCUUGAAAGUGCAGCCCUAAGUGGGUGGUAAACUCCAUCUAAGGCUAAAUACUUCCACGAGACCGAUAGCAAACAAGUACCGUGAGGGAAAGUUGAAAUAGAACUUUGGAGAGAGAGUUCAAGAGUACGUGAAACCGCUCAGAGGUAAACGGGUGGGCCCUCGAAGGUCGAACAGGGGGAUUCAACCCGUCGCCAUUGGGAGCGAGCUUAACGCGUUUGCCUGACCGAGCGUGGCGGGUGAUCGGCGCGAACUCGCGGACCAAAAAUCCUUCCGUGCACUACGGCUUUGCGAAAUUCGAUUCUCGAUCUCGGGAACCUCGAAAAAACGGAUCCAAACGAAGCUUCCUCCGUGGAGUUUCAGCGACCGGACCGUAGCCAGUGCAACGGAUGGCGGCGGGCGCACUUCCCCCUCAGUAGGACGCCGCGACCGGUCGGGAAAAAUAAACAAAAGUCGCAGCACUGCGGCGAGGUUCAAACGAGGGCAGGUAUCUGUUGCCGGUAGGUCCACCUUCCCUUCGCGGGGUUGGUUAUCCACGUGGCCCCGGUCGGAGUUAUAGCCCUUCCUCGCCGAGCGCACUGCCUCCCGACCGAACUGUAACGUCUCGAGACUGACGACGCGUGCCCGCGUGAUAACAAGCGCGCGCCAUCGUCCGGGCAGGCUGGGUUCCAUCGUCGGCGGACGCCGCGAACGCGGCGGUCGUUCUGGCUUUGGGCCUGCCGUUAAUGCCCGAGGACGUGAUCUGGCGUGGUGGCAUAGCUCGCGGUCGGCGGCGAGUANNNNNNNNNNNNNNNNNNNNNNNNNNNNNNNNNNGACCAAGGAGUCUAACAUGUGCGCGAGUCGUAGGGCUCUGCAAAACCCGAAGGCGCAAUGAAAGUGAAGGUUCGCGUUGGGCUGUGGAUGUCUCGCAUGCUCGGGGGUUCGCCCUCGUGUUUUGUGGGCGCUGCUCCCUCGCGUGACCAAGGCGGGAUCCCCUCCAGAGAGCAUCGGUAUGGCUAUCGCGCUUCAAACAGGCCGCCGGUUGUUCACAAGAAAAUUUCUGGAGCUAAGAAUACCGGGUGGACAAAGAACCCCCGGGGGGCGCACCGCCGGCCCGUCUCGACUGUGCUUUGAAAAACGCGGGAAUCGACGCGUGCCAUUUGCUUUUCAUUGAGCAUUGGCCGUGUGCAGACCCGGUCCGUUUCAUGGCAAACCAGUGAGGCGGAGCAAGAGCGCACACGUUGGGACCCGAAAGAUGGUGAACUAUGCCCGGGCAGGACGAAGCCAGAGGAAACUCUGGUGGAGGUCCGUAGCGAUUCUGACGUGCAAAUCGAUCGUCGGACCUGGGUAUAGGGGCGAAAGACUAAUCGAACCAUCUAGUAGCUGGUUCCCUCCGAAGUUUCCCUCAGGAUAGCUGGUGCUCGGAAAAAACAGUCUCAUGCGGUAAAGCGAAUGAUUAGAGGCCUUGGGGUCGAAACGACCUCAACCUAUUCUCAAACUUUCAAUGAGUGAGACGUCUGGCUUUCUUAAAACCGAAGCCCAGACUUUGGAUGCGAGUGCCCAGUGGGCCACUUUUGGUAAGCAGAACUGGCGCUGUGGGAUGAACCAAACGCCGGGUUAAGGCGCCCGAUGCGAACGCUUAUCAGACCCCAUGAAAGGUGUUGGUUGCUAUUGACAGCAGGACGGUGGCCAUGGAAGUCGGAAUCCGCUAAGGAGUGUGUAACAACUCACCUGCCGAAGCAACUAGCCCUGAAAAUGGAUGGCGCUCCAGCGUUGAGCCUAACCCCGGCCGCCGGGGCAAAAGAGGACGAUUCGAACCCAACCCCCUUCGGGGGGCGGUCGAUCUCUGUCGAUGCCCCGGCGAGUAGGAGGGUCGCGGCGGUGUGCGUAGAAGGUGUCGGGCGUGAGCCCGCCUGGAGCCGCCGCCGGUGCAGAUCUUGGUGGUAGUAGCAAAUACUCGAGUGAGAACCUUGAGGACUGACGUGGAGAAGGGUUCCAUGUGAACAGCAGUUGAACAUGGGUCAGCCGGCCCUAAGGAAUAGGGGAAACCCGUUCCGAACGACACCGGGGAUAUACAAAUAAAAAACCCCCGUGCGUCCGAAAGGGAAUCGGGUUAAUAUUCCCGAGCCUGGAUGCAGAGAUCGACCCAAGAGUCAUAUCUCNNNNAAACAAAAAAUCACAAAACACAAACUGUCAGUCGUGAUACGAGUACAAUGUACAAUAUGUGAAUGUGCGGUUUAAAGGAAACGAAAGUCGGGAGAGGGUGUGUAUCGACCAACCUCUCACUAAAGCCUUUAAUUUUCAUCNUGGUACUUACACACGCAGUAGUCGAGUAGCGUGCGUCGUGUGCACCGUCUGCCUUUACGCAUUCGAUUUGCUGACUAUAUUUGUACCGUGGGAUAGAAUUUUUUUUAGGGCAAGUGUGUGUGUUGCAAUACGCCUUCCUCGCUUUUUUUUACAAGACCUUUAUCCUCGCCUUUCUAACUUGUUCGUACUAUGUACACGCUGCGGCGGAAAGUGAUAUAUAAAAAGAGAAGAGACUCGGGUCAAAAGCGGUAACGCGAACGAACUCGGAGAAGUCGGUGGGAUCCCCGGAAAGAGUUUUCUUUUCUUUGUAAAGGACGGACUCCCUGGAAUUGGUUCGCCCAGAGAUAGGGAUGUUGUUCCUGUAAAGCACCGCGGCUCUUGCGGUGUCCGGAGUGUUCCUGCCGGCCCUUGAAAAUCCGAGGGA